This is a long non-coding RNA of Falco peregrinus (peregrine falcon), 558 nucleotides long. RefSeq lists it as uncharacterized. NCBI's taxonomy places the organism in Eukaryota, Metazoa, Chordata, Aves, Falconiformes, Falconidae. The transcript is spliced from 4 exons. The record is from RefSeq and is a predicted model, not a curated record.
AGGAAAAGGAUGUAAAACGAGCCAGAAGCAUCGCAGAAGUCAAGGCGUGCGGAGGCGCGGCCAAGCAGUGACCCCCACAGUGAUAGGAAUGGCUUCUGUUGUGACAAAUUGCAAAGCAACAGCUCUGCCAGUGUGACGCUGGCAGGGGCUGCAGCAGGCAGGUUGUACGCAGAAAGGAGUAAUGAAUUAGCAGAUUAUGGACUUACCCAUUGGAUGCUGAAUGCUACACAUGAGUUUUGGACCUCCUCCUAUGCAGAUAAGAACAUUCAGCCAUCUCGUGCUGUUCUGAGGAUUUCUGGAGAAGCAUCAGAGGGAGGAAAUACUGGUGUUGCAGCCAUUGAACUACCAACUGCCUCUGUCUGUGCCCGAGCACGGCAUUCCCAUCAGAGAGCAGGUGUUCUUGCAGGGUUUCAGAAGAAAUCCUCUGUGUGUUCUCCUGAAUUGUAAAGGCUGGUAAGAAUGAGAAGCCAAAGUCAUCCAUUAAUCCACAGGCAAAGUACUAUUCAAGCAGCUGCAGUGAAAGCUCUCACAUGCUGCCCUGGAAAUAACCCCAGCCUU